Molecule: ribosomal RNA, 253 nt
Filed under: uncultured bacterium
Lineage: Bacteria
Description: partial 16S ribosomal RNA
Rfam family: Bacterial small subunit ribosomal RNA
Source: RNAcentral
UACAGAGGUCCCAAGCGUUGUUCGGAUUCAUUGGGCGUAAAGGGUGUGUAGGUGGCGCUGUAAGUCGGGUGUGAAAUCUCGGGGCUUAACUCCGAAACUGCAUUCGAUACUGCGGUGCUUGAGGACUGGAGAGGAGACUGGAAUUCAUGGUGUAGCAGUGAAAUGCGUAGAGAUCAUGAGGAAGACCAGUGGCGAAGGCGGGUCUCUGGACAGUUCCUGACACUGAGACACGAAGGCCAGGGGAGCAAACGGG